CACCUAAUCUACCUUAUGAAUGAUUGAAUAUAUGAAGUGAUAGAAUCACAUGAGUUAUGAUGAUAUCCAUGUCUAAUUCUAGAAUUCUAGAUGUGAUGAUUGAAGGAAAGACUUGAACCUCGUGGAGGUGAAGUAAGAGAUUUUGUAUGUUCUAUGAAGUCUAUGUAUAUGCUUUAAGAACACGUUGAGAGUGAAGUGUCUAUGAUUAUUAUGUUGUUGUUGUGUUGUUGAAAGGAUAUUCUCAUAUAGACACCUAUGUAUGAAUAUGAUAUUAUAUGGAAGGUUCUCUCACAUAGAAUGAUUCUAGGUUGAAAGGCUUGCUCAACUAAAAUGAAUCUAAAUCCAAGGACUAUGAAAUGUGAUGAGGCUUGAGGUGAUUCCCCAAAGACCUUCAUAUGAGAGGGAUUUGAGUUUAUUUCCUAUAUUCCUAAAUAACUAAACAUGAGGUGAUUACCCAUGCCAUAAGAUGAGAAGUGUGAGGUGACUACCCUUAAUAUAUGACUUCUAAAGCAAGGCAACAGGUGAAUACCCAUUAGCCUUAAAAGUGAUAUGGAGGCAAAUACCUAUAUCAUAAUAUGAUGGUCAUGGAGGCGAAUACCUAUGAUCCUUAUAAAGUAAUGUGGAGGCCAAUACCUACAUUAUACUAUAUUAGUACAUGGAGGUGAAUACCUAUGAUUCCUUAAAUAAGGCAAGCGGUGAAUCCCCUUUGUCUUGUAAAUAAACGUAAAAAUAGUAUGAAUUAUGCAUUGUGUUGAUUGUAGCUUGAAAGGUCUUCCCGAAUACAUAUGAUUCCUUAAAUAAGGCAAGCGGUGAAUCCCCUUUGUCUUGUAAAUAAACGUAAAAAUAGUAUGAAUUAUGCAUUGUGUUGAUUGUAGCUUGAAAGGUCUUCCAUGAGAUGGGUGACUAGAGGUGAAAUCCCUUGUCCAUGAAAGAUAAACUAAGGAUGAGAUCAAAAGGUGAUAAAUACGUAUGAUGGCCUAAUGUGGUACUUAGCAUAGGUGAGAUUAUGGGGUCUUAUCCAUGCAUUGCACAAGUAUAUUUUAAGGUUACUUAAGAAGUGGUCCUCUUAUGUUAUAAAGAUCUAAGUAUUGACUAUGCUUAUGAAUAUGAUGUAUCUCUUGUGCUUAUAGCUUAUGUCUUAUGUUGACUAAUGCUUAUAUUAUGUCUAUGUUGGUGAUUAUGCCUAUGACUAUGUUGUUAUGCUCUUGAUGAUGUUAUGGUAGCUAUCAUAUUUAGUACAUUUUGUACUAACGCAUACUUUUUCCUACAUAAUUAUCAAAUGUAGGGUUCGGUGAUAUUGAGUUCAAUCCCUGUGGCUAGGUUCCUAGUAGAGCAAAGAGUGAACACUUAGUGAGUCCUCAUAGCAUCGAGGAUUUGAUCACCUUUCCUUUAUGGCUUUUAUUUUUUAUGUUAGAAUUAUUGUAUUGAUUGCGUCCCAAAGAUUUUCAUGUAUUAGAUGAUUUGAGACAAAAGUAUAAUAGACUUCCGCUCGUUUUUAAAAGACUUUGAUAUUAUGGAAAAAUGUUUUAAAUUUCCUCAUCAUUUCUAUUGCUUUAUGUUAUGAUAUGCUAAGGGGUUUGUAUGAGCCUCUCAGGGUCUUGUACGCCUUGUUACAUCUAGGGGGUACCCAUGGGUCGUGACAUUAUUAAACUCUUAGUAUGUUUUAUACAUUCAGACUAGUUGGGUAUUCCCCACUUUCAGUUAUCCAUGUUUUAGAUUCCGCAUAGUAGAUGUUUUAUUCAGUGAUUCUCAGUAUGCUUGAUAUAUGCCAGACACAGGGUUAGCUUGGGGAACUCGUGAUCUUAGGUCCUGUGUUACAUCAAGGGGGUAGCCUCGGGGCGUGAUCUAGGUCCUGUGUUACAUCAAAGGGGUAGCCUCGGGGCGUGAUAGUAUGAAAGAAGUGAGAUAGUUUCUAAAUGUCGCAGCCUCUUAAUUAUAUAUGUGGCGCGCUUCACACCGAUAACUAUGACUCUAAAGACACGGCUUCAUAGAUACCCUAGGACUCUUGAAAUAUGUGCUCUGAAACCAAGUUUGUCACCUCCGAUCCUACACCGUGGAUGUGACCGACACUCGCGAACCAUUGUUGGCCCCAAGGGAACCCUUAGCCUGGCUCAACACUCAGUGGAAGACUUACUCAACAUUAAAAGAACUCAAAAGUAACUUUACUCAACUGUCUCAAAAAGGUAAACUCGGAAUAUUUUGGAAAUAAAACAUUUACUAGCCAAAGAGGCAACUCAAGUCUAGAACAUUGACAUCUGAAAAUGAAGCCUCUAAUAUUAUGAGGUAUGUCGGGAAAAGACCCCUGAUCAUCCUAACAAAACUGAAAUAAAUGAAAACAAAUAAGGGAUCCUUCGAAAGAAAGGAGGCUCACCAAACAACUCUGGAACUGCAACUGGUAUCAACGAAUCGCCUGUUGAUGACCCUGAUCUCAUGUAUCUGCAUCAUGAAACGAUGCAGGACAAAUGGCAUUAGUACAUUAAAUGUACGAUCAUGUAAGGGGAAUACUGAACAUAACAUAACAUCUUGAACUUAUAAAGAAAGAAACUUACUUACCUCGACUCUUCUCAACUGAACCUCAACUCGUGGAUACUCAACUCAAAGCAGUAUAAAAACAGCAAUAAAGAUGCAGUUUAUAUAAAGCACUUAAAAUAGUAGAUAACAAUAUAGAACUCCUCAACUAAGUGGAUCCACUAAGCUAUGCUUAAAAAUCAAUAAGGAAUCAUCUAAAAAGUAUGACCCUCUCUACCCACAUUGGCUACAUGGUUUAUGAGGACUUUGAGUUAUCUGAACUCGUCCCUAUAUCGGUUCUCAAUAAUACUCCCAAAAUAUAACUUAGCUCAUAUGUUAAAAAAUAUAUCCUCAUCCUCAACUUUGAGAUUAUUACUCAAAAGAUUUCUCUUAAAAGAGAUAGUACUUAAAACACCGCAUGAACUCCUUUGGAAAUCGAUGUUUCCCUCAUUUUAAAUGUAAAAACAUUUACUCAUGUGAAUACUUAGUUCCGAUAUAUUCAUUUUGAAAAAAAUGAAACUCAACUCUUCUCAUCCUCAAGUACUCAAGUCUUAAAACAAGUUUUAAAAGCUUGUAAAAGACUUCUCAAAAAGACUCGAAAGAACUCUCAAGACUUUACUCUCAACUCUACCUUGAAAUUGAAUUAUGGAUUCAAGGGUUAUGAUUCAUGUUAUGAAUGAUCUCUCGAUGUUUAGAUGUAGUUUAGAGUAGUUAGAAUCAAUAGGGAGUAAAGGUACACUUUAAAAGGACUUAAACGAAACUAACGAAAGAAAAAGGGUGGGGAUAGGUGACCCUAGAGCUCUGCUGGCGCGGGGCGCCAGCCCCUGAACUUCAGAGGCUCCUUUUUGACGCACUGCUGGGGCGCGCNNNNNNNNNNNNNNNNNNNNNNNNNNNNNNNNNNNNNNNNNNNNNNNNNNNNNNNNNNNNNNNAAGAACACUCAUCAAGAACUUAAAUCUUUCAAUCUUUAUGGAUGAAUUCGAAUAUGUAAAUCAUGAUUGGCAUGUGGGUGAAUGAACCCAACACUAUGAAAACUUACAUACCUCAAUUUGGCAAAACAAGUCCUCGAUUCGCAAGAACCUUGAUCGUUCUUCCUUUUCUUCUCUUUUCCUCUUCUUGAACUCCUCUCAAAACCCUAAGCAUAUUUGGGAUAAUGAAAACUGACCCAAAUCAAAUUUGACCCCAAAAGUAUUACUAAAUUUGUUUAAAGCUGAUGAGGUAAGGAAAAGACCAAAAUACCCGUCAUUAAUUCGGAUAACUUUCCUUAACUGGACAGGUUAACUUCAAACGGACAUAUCUCUUCAUCCGAACUCGAAACUUAGCAAACUCGGUGGAGUUGGAAAGAGGAUUAAAAGACAUUUAAUUUAACAUCUUAUGGGCCACCUAACUCUUCUUAUAUUGAAAUUUAUGGUCAUUUGAAGUUGACCCAAAACCCACAACUUAAGCAUAACUUGUAAAAUUCUCAAUUUAGCUAUUUCCAAUUUAGCGCUUUCUAAAAUUAACUCUUUCUAAGGCGGGAUGUUACAAUAUUUAUGUGUUGGUUCCUCUUAUUUCUCCUGUUAAUUCUGAUAAAUUGUUUAUUCUUGUUUAGUUUCUAUCUUUAUACCUACUAUAUAACGUUCUGAGUCACAGGGUUGUUAUGGCUCUGUGAGCUUUAUCAUUGAUCUAAGGACUGUCCCCGACGUGGGAUAAUUGCAUCUAAUCUCCACCUAGCUAGGCUAGUGGGAGUGAUAGCAACCCCAACUAGAGGUGGUGCCCAGGGUCAAGAACAGUGAGGCGGUUAUCAGGAAACACAAGGUGGACCCUGGGGAGGCAAGUCUAGUGAUAGGACUANNNNNNNNNNNNNNNNNNNNNNNNNNNNNNNNNNNNNNNNNNNNNNNNNNNNNNNNNNNNNNNNNNNNNNNNNNNNNNNNNNNNNNNNNNNNNNNNNNNNUGAUCUUCAAGUUGAUGAGUUUGAACCUAACUGAUGAGGAUAUAUGUGAGAGAAAUAUUGGAAGUUGUACGUCUUUAAUAAUACUCUAUUAUUUAGGCAUGGAACAUAAUAUAUCUACGUAUAAUACAUUUUUUUAAUCAUUUAUAUAGGUUGGGGGGUAAGUUAAGGUAGGGGUGGAGUAAAUAAAAAGCAUCACUAUAAAAUGGGGAUAUUGAAUAGAAAAAAGUAUUAUCAAAUCAUCAUCAUAAUCAUGUCUUCAAAAAAGUGUAUUGUUUUCCUCAUUAUUCUGCUUUCCAUCAUCACUACCAGUCCUCUAGCCCAUGCUCAAUUACCCAUUCUUGGUCCCAUUUUUGGUCCCAUUCCCAUUGUUGGUCCUAUUCUUGGUCCCAUUCUUGGUCCCAUUGUUGGCCAACCCAUUAGACCACCGAUUGUACCACCGGUUGCCCAAGUACCACCGGUUGGUCAAGUACCACCCAUUGUUGGACAAGUACCACCCAUUGUACCACCCAGUGUUGGCCAAUUGGCACCCCUUCUUAACCAACUAUUACCAUCCCUUCUUAACCAACUAUUACCACCCAUUGUUGGAAGAUUAUUACCACCCAUUCUUAACGAAGUAUUACCAGGCAUUGUUAGCCAGCUAAUACCACCCAUUGUUGGUCAAGUACCAUCUAUUGUGCCACCCAUUGGUCAAGUACCACCCAUUGUACCACCCGUUGGUCAAGUACCACCCAUUCUACCACCCGUUGGUCAAGUACCACCCAUUGUACCACCCGUUGGUCAAGUACCACCCAUUCUACCACCCGUUGGUCAAGUACCACCCAUUGUACCACCCGUUGGUCAAGUACCACCCAUUCUACCACCCGUUGGUCAAGUACCACCCAUUGUACCACCCGUUGGUCAAGUACCACCCAUUCUACCACCCGUUGGUCAAGUACCACCCAUUGUACCACCCGUUGGUCAAGUACCACCCAUUCUACCACCCGUUGGUCAAGUACCACCCAUUGUACCACCCGUUGGUCAAGUACCACCCAUUCUACCACCCGUUGGUCAAGUACCACCCAUUGUACCACCCGUUGGUCAAGUACCACCCAUUCUACCACCCGUUGGUCAAGUACCACCCAUUGUACCACCCGUUGGUCAAGUACCACCCAUUCUACCACCCGUUGGUCAAGUACCACCCAUUGUACCACCCGUUGUUGGCCAACCAGCUAAUAUAACUAUACGGGGUGUUGUGUCUUGCUCCACAUCGGGAAAUGCCCCAGGCCCCGGAAUUGGUGGAGUAAAUGUCG
RNAcentral lists this long non-coding RNA (5728 nucleotides) under Solanum tuberosum (potato). RNAcentral's name for it is "long non-coding RNA (STUB_LNC000677)". Lineage: Eukaryota; Viridiplantae; Streptophyta; Magnoliopsida; Solanales; Solanaceae. The record is from RNAcentral.